AGAGUUUGAUCCUGGCUCAGGAUGAACGCUAGCGGCAGGCCUAACACAUGCAAGUCGAGGGGUAAUCCCGCUUUCGGGCGGGAACGACCGGCGCACGGGUGAGUAACGCGUAUGCAACCUACCUUUAACUGGGGGAUAGCCCGAAGAAAUUCGGAUUAAUACCCCAUAUAACUAUAGAUAAGCAUUUAUUUAUAUUAAAAACUCCGGUGGUUAAAGAUGGGCAUGCGUAACAUUAGUUAGUUGGUGAGGUAACGGCUCACCAAGACUACGAUGUUUAGGGGGCCUGAGAGGGUGGUCCCCCACACUGGUACUGAGACACGGACCAGACUCCUACGGGAGGCAGCAGUGAGGAAUAUUGCGCAAUGGAGGCAACUCUGACGCAGCCAUGCCGCGUGCAGGAUGACGGCCCUACGGGUUGUAAACUGCUUUUAUACAGGAAGAACUUUCCGCACGUGUGCGGGAUUGACGGUACUGUACGAAUAAGCACCGGCUAACUCCGUGCCAGCAGCCGCGGUAAUACGGAGGGUGCAAGCGUUAUCCGGAUUUAUUGGGUUUAAAGGGUGCGUAGGCGGGAUAAUAAGUCAGUGGUGAAAUACUGCAGCUCAACUGUAGAACUGCCAUUGAUACUGUUAUUCUUGAGUUCGAUUGAGGUAGGCGGAAUGUGUAAUGUAGCGGUGAAAUGCUUAGAUAUUACACAGAACACCGAUUGCGUAGGCAGCUUACUAAGUCGACACUGACGCUGAGGCACGAAAGCGUGGGGAGCGAACAGGAUUAGAUACCCUGGUAGUCCACGCUGUAAACUAUGAUCACUAGCUGUUGGCGAUACAUCGAUCAGCGGCAAAGCGAAAGCAUUAAGUGAUCCACCUGGGGAGUACGGUCGCAAGAUUGAAACUCAAAGGAAUUGACGGGGGCCCGCACAAGCGGUGGAACAUGUGGUUUAAUUCGAUGAUACGCGAGGAACCUUACCUGGGCUUAAAUGCAGAUUGACGUUUCGGGAAACCGGAAUUCUCUUCGGAGCGAUUUGCAAGGUGCUGCAUGGUUGUCGUCAGCUCGUGCCGUGAGGUGUCGGGUUAAGUCCCAUAACGAGCGCAACCCCUAUCGUUAGUUGCCAGCGGAUAAUGCCGGGGACUCUAACGAAGCUGCCGGUGUAAACCGAGAGGAAGGUGGGGAUGACGUCAAAUCAGCACGGCCCUUAUGUCCAGGGCUACACACGUGUUACAAUGGUCGGUACAGAGGGCAGCUACCUGGUGACAGGAUGCUAAUCUCGAAAGCCGGUCUUAGUUCGGAUCGAAGUCUGCAACUCGACUUCGUGAAGCUGGAAUCGCUAGUAAUCGCGUAUCAGCAACGACGCGGUGAAUACGUUCCCGGGCCUUGUACACACCGCCCGUCAAGCCAUGGAAGCUGGGGGUACCUGAAGUCUGUAACCGCAAGGAGCGGCCUAGGGUAAAACUAGUGACUGGGGCUAAGUCG
RNAcentral lists this ribosomal RNA (1470 nucleotides) under metagenome. RNAcentral describes it as "bacterial SSU rRNA". It matches the Rfam family "Bacterial small subunit ribosomal RNA". The record is from RNAcentral.